AAGUCGUAACAAGGUUUCCGUAGGUACGUUAUCAACUCUCUCUACCCCUUUUGUGACAGCUUAACUAACAUUUUUCUAGGUGAACCUGCGGAAGGAUCAUUAAUGGGUUACUGAACUUCGGUUCAAUCUCCAACCCUGUGUCAAAUAUCAUCUUGUCUUGGCAUGGCCAGGUCUUUGGACUUGCCGGGGCUCGGUUUAUGACCACUCUGGUUCGUGUCUGCCAGUGGCCCCAUUAAAUUCUUUUUAACUAUUCUGUCUGAGUCACAAGUUAAAUUUAUAAAA
RNAcentral lists this unclassified non-coding RNA (282 nucleotides) under plant metagenome. Its description in RNAcentral is "partial contains small subunit ribosomal RNA and internal transcribed spacer 1". The record is from RNAcentral.